RNAcentral lists this long non-coding RNA (442 nucleotides) under Fukomys damarensis (Damara mole-rat). RNAcentral's name for it is "lncRNA (ENSFDAG00000025117.1)". Lineage: Eukaryota; Metazoa; Chordata; Mammalia; Rodentia; Bathyergidae. The record is from RNAcentral.
AUGUUCUGGUCCAGAUGGUCCUUUUUGAGGGCUCUCCUGUGCAUGGUAGAGCAGCAUCCUUGGCCUUACCCCGUUGAUGCCAAGAACACCCCCUUUCACUGUGAUGACCAAGCACGUCCUCAGACAAAUGGAUCCAGGUUUGGUCUGAGUAGGAGCCCUGCUGCGCUGAGCCUAGAGCCCACUCACUGCCUGUGCCCUGGCCGCAGCCUGAGAUCGUCCACACCCCCUCUCACUGGAAAGAUGGUGAUGUGCUGCACCACAUGGAAAAUUAAAGGCUGCAUCUCAGUACGGCAAAGCACAAAGCCUGGGGUGGAUUUGAAACAAAGGUACCGGAACUGGGUGACACUGAUAGCCCUGCGUUGGAUCUCUAAUGGAUACAAUUUAGUAUUUCUCCUUUGGGGUUUAUGAAGGGCUCAGGAAGCAAGCAGAAUGUAUUUACCCA